GCCUCGGUGGCUUAGUCAGUUAAGCAUCUGACUUCGGCUCAGGUCAUGAUCUCACAGUUUGUGAGUUCAAGCCCCACGCCGGGCU
This 85-nucleotide transfer RNA is filed under the name Felis catus (domestic cat). It matches the Rfam family "tRNA". From Rfam's summary of the family: Transfer RNA (tRNA) molecules are approximately 80 nucleotides in length. Their secondary structure includes four short double-helical elements and three loops (D, anti-codon, and T loops). Further hydrogen bonds mediate the characteristic L-shaped molecular structure. tRNAs have two regions of fundamental functional importance: the anti-codon, which is responsible for specific mRNA codon recognition, and the 3' end, to which the tRNAs corresponding amino acid is attached (by aminoacyl-tRNA synthetases). tRNAs cope with the degeneracy of the genetic code in two manners: having more than one tRNA (with a specific anti-codon) for a particular amino acid; and 'wobble' base-pairing, i.e. permitting non-standard base-pairing at the 3rd anti-codon position. Lineage: Eukaryota; Metazoa; Chordata; Mammalia; Carnivora; Felidae. The record is from Rfam by way of RNAcentral.